UUUAAGAGGUUUUGCAGACACCUCGUGAGGCGCCAGCCAAAGCUUGCAUCCACUUGUUUCAUUUUUAAUAAUGGAGGGAUGUAUUAUG
The sequence is a regulatory RNA element, 88 nucleotides long. It matches the Rfam family "chrB-a RNA". The record is from Rfam.